UGAUUUGAUUCAGACAGACUGUAGAGCACAUGGCAUCAGUGAUCAUGAGACAGAUGAAGCUCAUAUUCAUGUUCACAUGGAGAAAAUGUCACUGAAGAUUACUACUGUUUCAACUGAACUGGAAACUCAAUCUCCUGAUCACAGAGGAGACUCCAGUGAUGUUCAGAUGAAGAUCAGCAGAUGAUGGAGAUGUUCAUCUCUUCCUGUUUGACAUGAUUGAGCAUGAACGCAAAUGUUUGAUGAUUACACAGGACUCCAUCAUGGAGCUGAGUAAUAUUAAUAAGGUCAAAUUAACAUCAAUUUAUUUCUUGUUUCUUAUUCUAUGUGUUAUAUUAACACACCGUAAUUGUUGACGUUCAUAUCUGUGAUUUUGCUGCAGGUAGUUUUUCCUCACUAUAGGUAGUUUGGACUGAUGUAAAUAAAUCCACACCAGCGUAUUUGAAAAGCUCCAGAAAGUUGCAGUCGUUUCUCUACUGAAGGAUGUCUGAACAGAUGGAGAGUUCACUGACUGGCCCGUAUCUCUUCCGGAACAAUCAACCAAUGACCAGCACUUCUGUUUAUGUCUGCUGAAUGUAUAGAACAUGUCAGGAUUUCAGUUUCCUGCAUUUCAUGCUUUCUCUACAGGCUCAAUAAAGGGUGUGACUCUAUAAAUGAUCUAAAAUGAAUCAAAUAUAGCAGGGUAAACUUCUGUAGUAAUGAAUGGGAGACCACAGCAAAUAUAGUCUUUGUGUUCCCAUUUGCUCCAACAGCAAAAUAAAAAAAUCCACUAUUACGUUUCCAUGACUUUCCAAAAGAGGAAAUAAUAGAGAUGAUAAUGGUCAGAAGAGAGAAAGAUUAGAAACCCCAACACAACAGCGAUGACUAGUUUACUGGAUUUAUUUAUAUUAAUGUCAGGGUAAUAUAACACAAAGCACAGUCAUAUAAAUAUACUUUAUAUUCUUUAAGAAAUAAGAAAAGGUUUGUUAGAUUUACUCUAUUAAAUGAAUAUGGAAAUACAUAAGAUGUGUGAAAACGUCUGUUCUUGGCAGGUCUUUACACACUCUUCAUAACCAGUUGAGACUAUGUGCACGUGUCUGCUGGUCUGCAAAAUUGUGCAUUAUCAAAGAAUAUCAAAAGGACUAUUGUGUAAAUGAUGAAUUAUUUGAUAGAGCAAAUAAAAUGACUGGAGUCUUGAUAUAAUCAGCUGAAU
Myxocyprinus asiaticus (Chinese sucker) is the source of this 1189-nucleotide long non-coding RNA. RefSeq lists it as uncharacterized. The record is from RefSeq and is a predicted model, not a curated record. Lineage: Eukaryota; Metazoa; Chordata; Actinopteri; Cypriniformes; Catostomidae. The transcript has 3 exons.